UACGGGGGGAGCAAGCGUUGUUCGGAUUUACUGGGCGUAAAGCGUGCGCAGGCGGUUAUGUAAGACAGUUGUGAAAUCCCCGGGCUCAACCUGGGAACUGCAUCUGUGACUGCAUAGCUAGAGUACGGUAGAGGGGGAUGGAAUUCCGCGUGUAGCAGUGAAAUGCGUAGAUAUGCGGAGGAACACCGAUGGCGAAGGCAAUCCCCUGGACCUGUACUGACGCUCAUGCACGAAAGCGUGGGGAGCAAACAGG
Molecule: ribosomal RNA, 253 nt
Filed under: uncultured bacterium
Lineage: Bacteria
Description: partial 16S ribosomal RNA
Rfam family: Bacterial small subunit ribosomal RNA
Source: RNAcentral